Molecule: ribosomal RNA, 253 nt
Filed under: uncultured bacterium
Lineage: Bacteria
Description: partial 16S ribosomal RNA
Rfam family: Bacterial small subunit ribosomal RNA
Source: RNAcentral
UACAGAGGUCUCAAGCGUUAUUCGGAAUUACUGGGCUUAAAGGGUGCGUAGGCUGUGCGGAAAGUUGGGUGUGAAAUCCCCCGGCUCAACCGGGGAAUUGCGCCCAAAACUACCGUGCUUGAGGAAGACAGAGGUGAGCGGAACUUCGGGUGGAGCGGUGAAAUGCGUUGAUAUCCGAAGGAACACCGGUGGCGAAAGCGGCUCACUGGGUCUUUUCUGACGCUGAUGCACGAAAGCUAGGGGAGCAAACGGG